AGCUUUGCGCAGUGGCAGUAUCGUAGCCUAUGAGGUUUAUCCGAGGCGCGAUUAUUGCUAAUUGAAAACUUUACCCAAUACCCCGCCGGUACGACUUGAAAUACAGUCGGCACUGGCAAUUUUUGACGGUCUUUACGGGGA
Molecule: small nuclear RNA, 141 nt
Filed under: Carassius auratus (goldfish)
Lineage: Eukaryota; Metazoa; Chordata; Actinopteri; Cypriniformes; Cyprinidae
Description: U4 spliceosomal RNA (ENSCARG00000003327.1)
Rfam family: U4 spliceosomal RNA
About the family: U4 small nuclear RNA (U4 snRNA) is a component of the major U2-dependent spliceosome. The structure of U4 snRNA from yeast and human has been reported. U4 snRNA presents a k-turn RNA motif in the 5p-SL related to recognition of Snu13 protein.
Source: Rfam by way of RNAcentral